UACGUAGGGGGCUAGCGUUGUCCGGAAUCAUUGGGCGUAAAGAGCGUGUAGGCGGCCCGGUAAGUCCGCUGUGAAAGUCGGGGGCUCAACCCUCGAAUGCCGGUGGAUACUGUCGGGCUAGAGUGCGGAAGAGGCGAGUGGAAUUCCUGGUGUAGCGGUGAAAUGCGCAGAUAUCAGGAGGAACACCGAGUGCGAAGGCAGCUCGCUGGGACGUUACUGACGCUGAGACGCGAAAGCGUGGGGAGCAAACAGG
Molecule: ribosomal RNA, 253 nt
Filed under: uncultured bacterium
Lineage: Bacteria
Description: partial 16S ribosomal RNA
Rfam family: Bacterial small subunit ribosomal RNA
Source: RNAcentral